This 253-nucleotide ribosomal RNA is filed under the name uncultured bacterium. RNAcentral's name for it is "partial 16S ribosomal RNA". It matches the Rfam family "Bacterial small subunit ribosomal RNA", at positions 524 to 776 of the family's 1533-position model. The record is from RNAcentral.
UACGGGGGGGGCAAGCGUUGUUCGGAAUUACUGGGCGUAAAGGGCUCGUAGGUGGCCAACUAAGUCAGACGUGAAAUCCCUCGGCUUAACUGGGGAACUGCGUCUGAUACUGGAUGGCUUGGAUUUGGGAGAGGGAUGCGGAAUUCCAGGUGUAGCGGUGAAAUGCGUAGAUAUCUGGAGGAACACCGGUGGCGAAGGCGGCAUCCUGGACCAACAUUGACGCUGAGGAGCGAAAGCCAGGGGAGCAAACGGG